RNAcentral lists this long non-coding RNA (206 nucleotides) under Polistes fuscatus (common paper wasp). RNAcentral describes it as "uncharacterized LOC122518942". The record is from RNAcentral. Lineage: Eukaryota; Metazoa; Arthropoda; Insecta; Hymenoptera; Vespidae.
GGAAAAGCACAGCAUCUAUUAGGCUUUCUUAUCGUUUUAUGUAUCGAGUAAAUACAUGAAAGAAGAAUUUGGAAGAUUUUAAAAUGAAUCCAGGCAAUUUUUUUUGGUAUUUAAAUGAGCAAACACCUCAGCUUUCUUCUAUCAUAAUGCCAAAUUUGACCCUCGAAGUCCACAAUGCGCAGGAGCACUAAAAUAAUUACACAAAA